RNAcentral lists this long non-coding RNA (909 nucleotides) under Androctonus crassicauda. The record is from RNAcentral. Lineage: Eukaryota; Metazoa; Arthropoda; Arachnida; Scorpiones; Buthidae.
AUCAAGUUACAUAAUCAAGGUUAAUUUGCAAUUUUCUUUGCUAUUUGUUUCUGGAAUUUUUGUGCUUCUUUCAAUAUCAUUGGUAAGUCCUGUGUGUUGUUUGAUUUUAUAUAUUUUACUAUGUAACUUUUCUCUGAUGAAUGGAAUGAUUUACUUUGAAUUUAUUAAUCAAUCCAUGUGAAGCAAUGAAGGAAACCCUGAUUCUUCAUAUUGUAUAGCAGCUUGAGAAGCCCAUUGUUAUAACAUCCUCAUUGUUACAGGAUGCAUCUGCUGCCGAGCUUCAAGGAAGUGAUCAUAGAUCCACUUAAUCAUAGCAUACUUUUUUUUAUGCCACCACCUGCAAUAAUUUGCUCUUUUUAUUUUCAUAAUUCUUUUUUAGAAUGAAGUGCAGCACCUCGCCACUGUCUGGAUUGUUUGUAAACGCCAAUUUGGAUGCUCUUUAACCAAAUUUACAAACUUUUAGUCUAUCUAUAUCAUCAUGCUUUUCAUACAAGGCCAUAUGUGAAAAUAUAUUCAUUUCAAUGUCAUAAGCCUUUCAUGAUUCUGCACUUGGAGAAGGCUGCUCAGAAAAAUGUUCACCUGAUCCUACCAUUUUGUGAAAAUUAUCAAAAAAAACUGUCAUGUAUCAAAACAAUCAAUACUGAUAUCCAUGUCUGAAAGUGAAACAGGAAAUGACUGGGCUGUAUAUGUUUGUUAGAGUAACCUUAUCCGUUUUGAAUUGGAACAGUUCAUUGUUGACAUAUAAUUAAUAACUGUAAGUGAAAAGUAAUAUUCACAAGUCAAUUGUUAAGGUUGCAUCUGAUCAAAAUAACAAGUAAAAUGUAAUAAAUUUACAAAAUAUAUAAUUUUAUUUUGUAAAUAUUGAUACCUAUCAAUUAAUGAAUAUAAUAAUAAUUAAAAUAAAUUAAU